Molecule: RNA transcript, 7078 nt
Organism: Mirounga angustirostris (Northern elephant seal)
Lineage: Eukaryota; Metazoa; Chordata; Mammalia; Carnivora; Phocidae
Exons: 5
Source: RefSeq, a predicted model, not a curated record
GCCCCGCCCCCGCGGCUCGGGCGCGUCCGCCGGCGGGGCCCGAAAGGGGGCAGGGCCGCGCGGGGCCGCGGCGGCGCCGGAGUCUGCGGGGCCGGAGCGCACCUCCUGGCGGGCGUCAGGGAGGCGCGGGCCGAGCCAGGUGCGCGCGGACUCACCGGGGUGCGCACGGCGAUGCGAGGACCCGUACAGCCACGCGCGUUCAGACCUAGGAGCGCCUGCCAGGUACGCGCCGACUGACCCCCGUACAGUCCCGGUCGCGCUGAGUGAAUCAGGCACACAGAGGUCGGUCCACGCACCGUUAGAGCCUGGUGGGACAGAUUAUCAGCGCUUCUGCAGUGGUAUUGGCAAAGGACCUUCGAUGAGCCACUUGUCUUUAGAACAGAGGACGCAGGAAGGCUUCGAGCUGAACACCAGGCAGGACUUCUCAAUUAUGAGGGAUGUCAGACCUCAGAGAGGAAGGCCGAACUGGGACCUUCCCAUCCAGGAGAGCCCCAAGAUGAGGUUUCUGAGGCCCAGAGGCAUGAAGUGUCUUCUCAAACCCACCCGGCCAGUGAGGACCACACCAAGAACUGGAAUCUCGGUCUUUGGUUCGAAGUCCAGCACAGUUUCCACGGUGAGGAAACUGAGGCACAGAGAGGUCAAAUAUUUUGCCCAAGGUCAUACACGAAGUGAAUGGCAGAGCUGAGACCCAAACUUGGCAUUCUACCUCCAGAGUCUGUUCUUUGAUCUACUAUACUGCGUGCCAAACCAGUAAGGCACUGGAUUUGGUUUUUCCUCUAGGUUCUGCCACUCAGAUGAACCACCUUACCCUGCCCGUCUACCCAUCCUUCCAUCCAUCCAUGCACCGUUUCAUUCAGCAAAUAUUUAUUGAAUACAUCUGCUAUGUGCCCACCAUUGUGCCAGAUGAGAAAAUAGAGGCCACAGAGAGAUUAUUACCUCAUGCUGUUCCCUGGGUAAAUGGGGAAACUAAGGCUGGCCCAGACACCACUGGAAGGAGGUCAUGGAAGAGACUGUAUUAUGAGUAUAAGAAGAGGAGCAUUGGAAAUUCCAAGGACAUUCUGGCUGUAGCCUUGAGAGAAUUAUUUUACUUCUCCAAACUUAUUCUUUCUUAUCUAAACAGUAGGAUAAUUAUGUCUUAUUGGAAGCUUCAAUGCAAGGAUCAGGUGAACUCAUAUAAGUAAAAUGCCUAGUGUAUGAUAGAUAAUCAAUAAACAGAAGCUGUCAUUAUUAAUUACCUAAUUGCUCCCUCCUUUGUGCUCUUUCUGUUUCAGAUGCUUCCCUUCCAGAGCCUUAUCAGACUUUUUAAUGAUCUUAUCAUAUAUCUGUCUUGCUGUUGUACUCUGAGCCCCUCAAAGGCAAUAGCCAGCUCUUACCCACUUCUGAGCUCUUUAGCUGACAGAUGGGAGGUUCCAUAUGAAGGGUUGAAAGGAAGCUGUUUGCCCAAGUGGACAAGCUAAUAAGUGCAAGAGCCCAGGUCCCUCCCCAAGAUGCUAUGCAGACUUGUAUGAUCAGUGAUCCAUGGUCAGGGAGGUGGGUGGUGGAAGACCCCAACCGCGGCCUGUGACUGCCUGUGUGGGGAGUUGCAGGUUGCUGGGGCAUGGAGGAGGGAAAAUGGGGAUGGGAGUCAAUGAGCUGUCCUGGGCCUGAGCUCACAGGCUCAGUAAAGAGGGCACUUAUAGAAGAUGGACAAGGCAGGGCCCAGUGAGCAGUGAGAUGUGAAGGUUCACGAAAGGGAGGACUCCAGCUUGACUCCUAGGUUACCUUGGAAUACAGGAGGGAUAUGAGAGUAUGUGGAUAGGAGGGGAGGAUCAUGAAUUCGAUUUUGAAAUGCUCAAGGAGAGGAGUUCAUAGGACAGGUCUCUAAGGGUCUCUAGCAGGCAUUUGUCUGUAAGGAGUUGUGUGCAGGGUGCUGAUAUCUGCCACAACUUAUGAUCCUAUGACAUGGUUGUUCACUGAACUGGCAAAGUAUAGCUCUAGAGUUGGAUUGUAGGACUUGAAUCCUGGCUCUAUGGUAACUAGCUAGCUGUGUGUGACUUUGGGCAUGUUACUUAACCUCUCUGGGUCUCAGUUUCAUUUUCUGUAAAAAUUUUCUGAAAAAUUUUCUGUAAAAAUUUUCUGGAAAAAAUUCCAUUUCUGUAAAAGGAGGAUGAUUGGAAAUUACCUCCUAGCAUGUUGUUAUAAAGGUCAAAUGAAAUAAAAUAAAUCAAUGAAGGAGCAUAGUAAGAGCUCAAUAAAUGAUGCUCAUUGUUAUUAGCUGUUCCUGCUGCCAGAAUGCUGACCACCCCCCCUUGUCUUGGCACCUUCCUCCCUAUUUCAGCCUUGCCCAUCCCACCAGUACUAGAUACUCAGCUACUCAUCAUAGGUACUCUAAACCUCUCCAUUCUUCAGAGACCCCUGUUCCUUAAGCAUCCCCUUCAACCCUUUGGGUAACUGACCAAGGAGAAGCAGAGAGUUGUCACUUGUGUUCCUCCAGUGAGAGGUCACUUGAGUUUUAAUUGUAUCUUCAGUGCCUUGACCCAUGGGUGUGACUAAUGGUGGGAAUAUUUGACAGGAUGAUAGGGUUAGGGCAGUUGUUUUGGAGGUAGAGAGAUUUUUCUGGUGCUGGUCAGACCAACACAUUCAGAAGUCAUCUACUCUGUCUUCAUGUAUGAAUAUUGUUAAUGAAUAUAAAGCUCAGACUGAGAGGGAAUCUGGAAGUUCUCACUUGGGAUUAAGUGGGGUUGGGGCACUUCAUGCCCUUUCGAUUGGGAGGUCUUCUGGCAAACUCUGCAAUCCUCCCAGUAGGACCAGGAUGCUCUGGGAUUAUUCCAUCUCUCCCUCUGUUCUACUCCCAGCUUCCAGGAAGGCAGGGAAGUAGUGGACAACUGCCUGAUGUAUAACACAUAUCCAAAAUGUGGAAAGGAAGGAGGAGAAAGCCAUUACCCAAGGAUUGGGAAGCCCAUGUUUAAGUCCUGCUCCUACCUUUACCAGGUGUGUAGUCUUAGACAAGUAACUUCCCUUCUCUGAGUCUCAGUUGCCUAUGAAUGGGGUGGUUAUACCGGAAUCCUUUAGCAGACCAAACAUUUAGACGAGUAUGUUCCCUUGGCUAUUGCAGAAAUUGAAGCCCAGACUGCAAAGGGGCUUGCUCGAAGUCAUGAAGCCAGAGUUUGGCUGCAAAACCAAGUCAUGUGGUAGUGCUUAGUCAAGUGUUGCAAGAGGGUAAGGGAUGGUGUUGUAUUGGUAUGGGACAGAUCUAAUUUACUUGCUUAGGCUCUCAGACCCAUGGAAGGGAAGGAGACUCCCCCUCUGCUGAAUCAUUUACCGCUACAUUUUCAAAGCCAGUGGGAAUUCUUAGAGGAAGCUGUAAGGCCCAGAGACUUUGACAGUGUAUAUGUGCCUCAGGGGUCAUCACAAAGCUCUGGUCACAAACAAGUUGCAGGCUGCCUUUGAAGCUCUUCCCAGUGACUCUGCAAAGUUUUAGGUCUCAACUCAGCUACAAAAUGAAUGAAUUGCUCAUCUCACCAGCACGGAGCACAUUUGGGCCAGACUUCUUGGUCAGUUUUAUGGGGCCAAUACAUCUGCAGAAGCACUUACCCGUCACUCUGCAGACGGAAUGCAUUAUUUUGGAAAACUUUCUUUUCCCUUUUCCCCCCAAAACUUUUAUUCCCUGGCAGAAAUGGUUUAUCAACGUCUUUAAAAAGCCGCUCAGAUCUUCUUGGCAACCCCUGAUACCAUAAAAGAGUGGCAGUACGAAUGCAAAUGAAUUGGAGGGCAUUAAAAAACCCUCUUGCUUCGGCAGCUGAAGUGGAGAAGGGCCGGAUGAUGGAUAGCACACGGCUUUCCGUUGAGCGAUUUUGCUCCUUUUACGGCUGCCAAUGGCUGAUGUAUUUCAUCUUUUGUUUCCUUUCCUGCCGCUUAAGCAAGCACCCUCAGGCUGGGGCUAUGUCCCCGGGCACCCACUUCAUCUUGCCCCUCUGGGACAGCUUCAGCCAGCUGUUUUGCACUUACUGCCUGAUUCAGGGAAGGCAUGGGAUGGCCCAGCUGGAUGGGGCCCUGGGGGAGUGCCCCUCCUAUAAUUGCUGAGCUCAGGAGCAGAGACUGCUGAAGAGGUGGAAAUCCUCCCCAUGCCAUUUUCUAUUCCACCCGUGUUUACUGAGGCCCGCUGCAUGUGCAACACUGUGCCAGGCACAGGGAGGACACCAUGAAGUGGAGGACACAGCCCAGACUUCAAUGAUCUUUCCCUCCUGUUGGGAGGGAACUCACCCCCGAACAGCUACACACACAUACAUGCACAUGGCUAAGGCUUGCAAGGCUUCCUGCACCCACUCUUACCCAUGUGUGUUCGGGUACAUGCUCACACUCACCUACAUGUUAGCACAAAUGUAUAUGGACACAGUCACCCACAGAGAUGCAAGAGUACACACCCGGAUGUGCCCAGAAACACGCAACCAAGCCCCACCAACUCUCAAACCCACAGGCACCUGCAAACAUGCACAGACAAACACAAAAGUAUUCUCCUGUACACCCACACAUGAGGAAGUUAAAAGAUAAUACAGAACCAUGUAUGAUCUGAAGCCAGAACGAGAGGGGAGAUGAGAGAGGAUUCAGGGGAUGUCACUGAAGAAAUAACGCUGAUGUAGGAAGUUUGCCUUUGAGACUCAUCUCAGUCUCCUACUAUCUGUGUGACCUUGCUCAGUCUCAACCUCUCUGAGUCUCAGCUUCCUUAUUUGAUUUUUUUUUUUUAAUUUGAGAGAGAGAGAGUAUGUGUGAGCUGUGGGAGGGGCAGAGGAAGAGAAUCUCAAGCAGACUCCCUGCUGAACACGGAGCCCAACGCAGAGCUAGAUCUCACGACCCUGAGAUCAUGCAUGACCUGAGCCAAAACCAAGAGUCAAACGCUUAACUGACUGAGCCACCCAGGGGGCCUGCAGCUUCCUUAUUUGACAUGAGGCCCCUCCAGAUACCAGAGCCUAUGAUUUUGUGAAAUCAGAAGUUCAGAAGUCAAUGUGAGCUGAUGUAAUAAUAGUUACAGUAAUACCAAUAAUAGCUAAUUAUAUUGAGCACUUACAGUGUGCUCUGCACUGUGUUAAGCACUUGGUAUACAUUAUCUCUUUUAAUCUCCACGGUAAUCCUAAAAGAUGAGUCCAGUUAUUAGCUGUGUCUUACAGGUGUAGAAACCAUAGUUCAGAGAGGUGAGGUUACAAGCCCAGGGUCACACAGCAAACAGUAGUAGAGUCGGUAUUGGAACCCCCGCAGGUUGGCUCCAGGGCCCACACUUCUGGCUACACUGACAAUGAGCUGAGUUGGACCAAUGCUGGGAGAUGAAGGAUAUACAUUCCCUGCCCUUGAGGCCUCAGUUCAGUGGGGAGGACAAUUGGCAUGAAGUGUUGCUUGAUGCUGGGGACCUUGGGUUCCUGGAGACCCACCUCCGUGUACUUGUGACAGCUCUCACUGGUGACUCCUGUGGGCCAGGGCAGCCCCACCUGGCCCUGGGGGUGUGCCCCUGGAUGGGGUUUCUCUGGCUUGGGCGGGGACUGUGUAUCCAGAUAAUGAGCUUCCAGUCAAGUUCAAGAGGCCAGAAGUCUUCUGGGAGCGUGUUGUGCCUGUUUCUGUGUCUCGAGUAAGGACACCCAGUGAGGUCCUCUGGCCUGGGCUGGGGCCUCUGUAGCUCAUUAUGAUAGGUUUGAGCAAAUUAGGAUAAGAGCUUCCCUCCAGAGGAUUGCAGCACUGUGCCAGGGCAUGGCAUGGAGCGUGCCAUGGGUUGUGGUCCCCUCCUCAUCUCUAUAUGUGGUAGCCCUGGUAGGGUCAUAGGGAGGGAGAAGGCGCAGGCUGGGGAGAUCAGAGGUCUUCACAGGGCUCCUUCCUGCAAUGGGAGAAGGAAGGUGUAGGACCUUCGGUUGGUCUCUCAGGAGAGGGAAUAGGGUGACCCUGGGGUGGGGUGUAGACAUGGAGGAAGGGGCUAGAAGGAGCUGCCAAACCAUAAUAAAAGCAUCUCAACAAAAAUCGCUUGUCCAGAUCACACAUCCAGGGGCGAGUGGCAGGGGUGAAAUUUGCAUGCGGGUCUGUCUGACUCCAAAGGUUGGACACCAAACCAUUGCACUCUGCUGCGUCCCCAGAUCUGCUCUGAGGCCCUACUGUGUGCUCGUGGGACAGGGUGAGGCUAUAGGACAGAGGAAGUCACAGGGUACCAAGACAGCUGCUGAUACGAACAAUGCAACAUCAGCAACACACAUGCGCACACGCAGAGCGAAGUGGGCAGGUUUCCUGACGGCACUUUGCAGAUACACAAUUUUCCCUUGGGCCUGACCUUCAGUUUUGCCUUCCUUGUGCUCUUGGCCUCCACUUAGUCCAGCUUAAGGCUGUGCCCUCCACGAUGGCAGGGGCCUCUGUCCCCGGGCCUCAGGCACAGCCCAGCACUGGCAGCCAUGUAGGGUCCCACCCCACGCUCUGUAGGGUCCCCUUGAACCCCCCACCUCCCCUGUAAAUCCACACAACUCCAGCCUGUCUCUGCUCUCCCUGGCCCAUGCCAUCCUUAUUUUCAAGGCCAGAUGGUCUAGAUCAAUUCUGAGGGUCCUUCCAGAAUCCCUUCCCCUCUCUUUCCAUAGAAAUCUCUUGCUCUCUGAAGGCCUAGGUUCUCUUUGACUGUUAUAGGUCUUAAUGAGGACCAACCACAUGCCAUGGGGACCCAAGACACAGGACCCCCCUCUCUUCCCUGAGCCACAUGGGUAAAUUUGUUCCAUCCACCCUGGUGCUGGGGUGGGGACCCUCAGGGAAGGAAGGUAUGGCUAUGGUUGGGCCUCCUGCCUUGAUCUUGGGGAACAGCCAGGUGCUGCUCCCUGAACAGACUCCGGGUGCUGGGGUCAGACCCCAGGGACCAGCCGAAUCCUGCUUUGCACUUAUGUGUUCAGGACAAAACCUGCCCAGACAAGGGGAUACUGAAGCCAGGAGAGGGGAAUGUGUUUGGCUAAGGUCAGAUGGUGAGUUAGUGCCAGGACCAAAAUCUGGCUCCUAUUCUUUUUUUUUAAGGAAGAACUGCAGGUGAUAUGUGCUUGCAGUAAUAAAUGUAACCACUAAGGAAAUAGAAAGUAAAAAGUGAAAGUUU